Molecule: ribosomal RNA, 558 nt
Filed under: Triticum aestivum (bread wheat)
Lineage: Eukaryota; Viridiplantae; Streptophyta; Magnoliopsida; Poales; Poaceae
Description: partial small subunit ribosomal RNA
Source: RNAcentral
AUGCCGGCACAGUCGCCGGCGCGGACGCUGGGGGAGUCUCUGGCACACGUGCCCCGUCAUAAAAUCUGGACGAUGGCCGUCUUCGCGCAGAUCAUGUCGCCUGCCGUCGUCACGUCUAUUUUAUACGGCGACAUAUGGCCACAGGGCUUUCGCUCCUUCUUCCGCGGCGCCCCGUGGCGGCUGCCUCUGGCGCUCUCGUGGGGCUUCUACUUGUCGCUGCUCUACCUCAUCAUGUUAUACGCGGGGCUGUUCCUGCCGCGCACGCCCGUAGCCGUCGUCAAGAAGCUCUUCUACGUUGGAGCGUACGGCGUCGGCGGAGGCAUCACUGCCAUGGUGAGCGGCGUGCUGGGGUGCCGCGUCAAGGACGGCCGCGCGCUGGCCGGAUGCACCGCCCUAGUCGAAGUGAUCAUCGUCGGCCUCGUCGCGUUUUGGGUGUGGCUUGCUCGCACCUACGGUGGAGACGGCGACUCGUCGUCGGAGGAGUCUACUACGCAUCCACCAGCAGAAGCACUAAAAGAAGGGCUGCAGCCUGCUGUUCCACAACGCCUACCUGUCUAG